This 1095-nucleotide ribosomal RNA is filed under the name Bacillus licheniformis. Its description in RNAcentral is "bacterial SSU rRNA". It matches the Rfam family "Bacterial small subunit ribosomal RNA", at positions 33 to 1106 of the family's 1533-position model. Lineage: Bacteria; Bacillati; Bacillota; Bacilli; Caryophanales; Bacillaceae. The record is from RNAcentral.
ACCUGGCGGGGUGCUAUACAUGCAAGUCGAGCGGACCGACGGGAGCUUGCUCCCUUAGGUCAGCGGCGGACGGGUGAGUAACACGUGGGUAACCUGCCUGUAAGACUGGGAUAACUCCGGGAAACCGGGGCUAAUACCGGAUGCUUGAUUGAACCGCAUGGUUCAAUCAUAAAAGGUGGCUUUUAGCUACCACUUACAGAUGGACCCGCGGCGCAUUAGCUAGUUGGUGAGGUAACGGCUCACCAAGGCGACGAUGCGUAGCCGACCUGAGAGGGUGAUCGGCCACACUGGGACUGAGACACGGCCCAGACUCCUACGGGAGGCAGCAGUAGGGAAUCUUCCGCAAUGGACGAAAGUCUGACGGAGCAACGCCGCGUGAGUGAUGAAGGUUUUCGGAUCGUAAAACUCUGUUGUUAGGGAAGAACAAGUACCGUUCGAAUAGGGCGGUACCUUGACGGUACCUAACCAGAAAGCCACGGCUAACUACGUGCCAGCAGCCGCGGUAAUACGUAGGUGGCAAGCGUUGUCCGGAAUUAUUGGGCGUAAAGCGCGCGCAGGCGGUUUCUUAAGUCUGAUGUGAAAGCCCCCGGCUCAACCGGGGAGGGUCAUUGGAAACUGGGGAACUUGAGUGCAGAAGAGGAGAGUGGAAUUCCACGUGUAGCGGUGAAAUGCGUAGAGAUGUGGAGGAACACCAGUGGCGAAGGCGACUCUCUGGUCUGUAACUGACGCUGAGGCGCGAAAGCGUGGGGAGCGAACAGGAUUAGAUACCCUGGUAGUCCACGCCGUAAACGAUGAGUGCUAAGUGUUAGAGGGUUUCCGCCCUUUAGUGCUGCAGCAAACGCAUUAAGCACUCCGCCUGGGGAGUACGGUCGCAGACUGAUACUUCAAAGGAUUGAACGGGGCCCGCACCAGCUGUGGAGCAUGUGGUUUAGUUCAAAGCAUCGCCGAAAGAACUUACACGUCUUGACAGCUCUGACAACCCUAGAGAUAUGCGUUCUCGUUCGGGGGCAGACUGACCAGAUGUGCAUGAUGGUCGUCAGCUCCGUGUCGUGAGAAUGUUUGGGUUGAGUUCACAGCACCCUGAACGCAGCCCUU